AUGAUCAGGCCACAAGAAAAUUAGGUAACAUUUUCCCCUACUGUGAUUUAUGGUUUAGUCCUAUGACAUAUAAAGAAAACAUAAGAAUGCAUGAAAUAUUCUGCAGCUGCCAGGUAGUUUUUAUUUUCCAAAACAUUCUUAUUGCUUGUUGUGCUAUGAACACUUGGCUCCUCUACAGUCGUUUUGCUGUUUAGUAUUAAAAUAAUGUGAUCCAAUUUUUCUUCUUGCCACCAUUUUCCAAAAGCCCUAAUUAUGCUUCACGGGAUAUUGUAAACAGAAUUUGUUGUUUUUUCUCAUUUGUCAAAGUGACAGCUGCUUAAAAUUCAUCAGCGUCCUUGCGUUGCUAUAAGGCUUAAGAAAUAGGAUAGUAAGUAGUCACGCUUUACUUUCUAUGCUAUUGUGGAAGAUACAUUUACUGAACACUUGGUUUUGUUUCUAAAUCAAUUUAAGCACCACAUUUUACCUCUCCCCGACUGCAGAAUGAGGUUGUGGGGAAUGAAAUGGAACAGUGAGCCAAUCAAAAGGCAGAAUACUGAAAAUGUCAAAGUACAGUGCAACAUGUGUCCUCAUUUUAUGGUUCUUGAAUUCCAUGGCUCAAAAAUCAUCGGAUCUGGCCCUGUCAUGCUUGGUGCAACACUGGGCAUCAACUGUCAGGCGGAAGAUACUCACAGACAGUGUUACAAAUCUGACCCUGAAGCUGCUAAGUGACACUCUCUGGAAGAGCUGCAUUGACAGCUUAAGGCCAGUUAGGUACCAAGUGACUGAAGUUUAUGACACCCUGAUGGAAUUGGCAUUGUUGAAUAAAACCGAGGCCGGAAUCCAGCACGAGGUGUAAAGCCUGGCAAACCAGAUCACCAACUUCAAAUUUCUCAAUUGUCUCAAUUGUAGUUUGGCAUGAUAUCCUGUUCCAAAUAAACUUUGCAAGCAAGGCA
Molecule: long non-coding RNA, 932 nt
Filed under: Chrysemys picta bellii (western painted turtle)
Lineage: Eukaryota; Metazoa; Chordata; Testudines; Emydidae
Description: lncRNA (ENSCPBG00000025825.1)
Source: RNAcentral